GGAGCGGGGAAAUGUCCGCCCGCGGCUCGGCGCUCGGCCCAGCGGGCUGACGGAGGGGCUGCGGAGCCCCGAGCCGCCGAUGGCGCCGAGGGGCCGAGGGGGCUGAGGCGCAGGGCGGGCCCGGCCGCCAUUUUGGACGCCGAGCCGCCUCGCUGCGGGAAGGUCUUGCCUUGGCCUCGCAUCAGAAAAACCUACCAGUGAACAUGCGUACAGGAAAAUGCUUAAGUAUGCAAGAAAAUGAUAUCAUCUGAAAUGUAAAAAUGAAUAAAGAAUUACACGUAUGUAACAAAGCAGAA
Molecule: long non-coding RNA, 296 nt
Organism: Oxyura jamaicensis (ruddy duck)
Lineage: Eukaryota; Metazoa; Chordata; Aves; Anseriformes; Anatidae
Exons: 2
Source: RefSeq, a predicted model, not a curated record